CUUAAGCUUAGUUGCCAUCAUUAAGUUGGGCACUCUAAGUUGACUGCCGGUGACAAACCGGAGGAAGGUGGGGAUGACGUCAAAUCAUCAUGCCCCUUAUGAUUUGGGCUACACACGUGCUACAAUGGACAAUACAAAGGGCAGCGAAACCGCGAGGUCAAGCAAAUCCCAUAAAGUUGUUCUCAGUUCGGAUUGUAGUCUGCAACUCGACUACAUGAAGCUGGAAUCGCUAGUAAUCGUAGAUCAGCAUGCUACGGUGAAUACGUUCCCGGGUCUUGUACACACCGCCCGUCACACCACGAGAGUUUGUAACACCCGAAGCCGGUGGAGUAACCUUUUAGGAGCUAGCCGUCGAAGGUGGGACAAAUGAUUGGGGUGAAGUCGUAACAAGGUAGCCGUAUCGGAAGGUGCGGCUG
Molecule: ribosomal RNA, 416 nt
Filed under: Staphylococcus aureus
Lineage: Bacteria; Bacillati; Bacillota; Bacilli; Caryophanales; Staphylococcaceae
Description: bacterial SSU rRNA
Rfam family: Bacterial small subunit ribosomal RNA
Source: RNAcentral